This 319-nucleotide long non-coding RNA is filed under the name Ananas comosus (pineapple). RNAcentral describes it as "long non-coding RNA (ACOM_LNC021909)". Lineage: Eukaryota; Viridiplantae; Streptophyta; Magnoliopsida; Poales; Bromeliaceae. The record is from RNAcentral.
UUAAAACAGAAAUGAUUAAAAGCUAAUAGCUCAUAAAGAAUCAAUUUUUUAAAAAAUUAACUAGUAUAACUCAAAUAGACUCUUCCUUCCGAUCUCAUGCAAGAGCCAAUUUUCACCUACAUUCCGACCUCAUGCAAAAACCAAUUUUCACCUAUCAUUCAAACUCAUGCAAAUAAUAAGCCCUCAUGCAAAAACCAAUUUUUACCUAACUUCCUACCUCAUACAAAAACCAAACUCAUGCAAAUUAUAAGCUUAACUUACCCUCUCAAAUAACACUAUAAAAAGAAAUGUGAGAAAGCAAUUUUAUAUUCAUUCAAUA